CCUACGGGAGGCAGCAGUGGGGAAUAUUGGGCAAUGGGCGCAAGCCUGACCCAGCAACGCCGCGUGAAGGAAGAAGGCUUUCGGGUUGUAAACUUCUUUUGACAGGGAAGAGUAGAAGACGGUACCUGUCGAAUAAGCCACGGCUAACUACGUGCCAGCAGCCGCGGUAAUACGUAGGUGGCAAGCGUUGUCCGGAUUUACUGGGUGUAAAGGGCGUGUAGCCGGGUUGACAAGUCAGAUGUGAAAUCCUGCGGCUUAACCGCAGAACUGCAUUUGAAACUGUUGAUCUUGAGUACGGGAGAGGCAGACGGAAUUCCUAGUGUAGCGGUGAAAUGCGUAGAUAUUAGGAGGAACACCAGUGGCGAAGGCAGUCUGCUGGACAGCAACUGACGGUGAGGCGCGAAAGCGUGGGGAGCAAACAGGAUUAGAUACCCGAGUAGUC
Molecule: ribosomal RNA, 442 nt
Filed under: uncultured bacterium
Lineage: Bacteria
Description: partial 16S ribosomal RNA
Rfam family: Bacterial small subunit ribosomal RNA
Source: RNAcentral